This 393-nucleotide RNase P RNA is filed under the name Ensifer adhaerens. RNAcentral's name for it is "Bacterial RNase P class A". It matches the Rfam family "Bacterial RNase P class A". From Rfam's summary of the family: Ribonuclease P (RNase P) is a ubiquitous endoribonuclease, found in archaea, bacteria and eukarya as well as chloroplasts and mitochondria. Its best characterised activity is the generation of mature 5'-ends of tRNAs by cleaving the 5'-leader elements of precursor-tRNAs. Cellular RNase Ps are ribonucleoproteins. The record is from RNAcentral. Lineage: Bacteria; Pseudomonadati; Pseudomonadota; Alphaproteobacteria; Hyphomicrobiales; Rhizobiaceae.
CCAGUUGGCCGGGCAGCCGCGCGUCAUCAAUGCCGAAAGGCGAUGGCGUGAGGAAAGUCCGGGCUCCACGGAAACACGGUGCCGGAUAACGUCCGGCGGGGGCGACCCUAGGGAAAGUGCCACAGAAAGCAAACCGCCCUCUUUCAGAGGGUAAGGGUGAAAGGGUGGGGUAAGAGCCCACCGCGACCCUGGCAACAGGGGCGGCACGGUAAACCCCACCGGGAGCAAGACCGAAUAGGGAUGACGCGGCGGGGCAACCCGUCAGCCUGUUUCCGGGCCAGUCAUCCGGGUGGGUUGCGCGAGGCGGCAUGCAAAUGCCGUCCCAGAUGAAUGGCUGCCACGUUCCGGUUCGCCGGAGCCAUACAGAACCCGGCUUACAGGCCAACUGGCGAA